AGGACGAACGCUGGCGGCGCGCUUAACACAUGCAAGUCGAGCGAGAACCAGGGCUUCGGCCCUGGGGAAAGCGGCGAACGGGUGAGUAACACGUGAGUAACCUGUCCUCGGCACCGGGAUAGCCCGGGGAAACCCGGAUUAAUACCGGAUGGCCUUUCGAGUCUUCGGGCUCGUCAGAAAAGGUAGCUUCGGCCUCCGGCCGAGGAGGGACUCGCGGCGGAUUAGCUUGUUGGUGGGGUAACGGCUCACCAAGGCGACGAUCCGUAGCUGGUCUGAGAGGACGAUCAGCCACACUGGGACUGAGACACGGCCCAGACUCCUACGGGAGGCAGCAGUGGGGAAUCUUGCGCAAUGGGCGAAAGCCUGACGCAGCGACGCGCGUGCGGGAAGAAGGCCUUGGUGUAAACCGCUUUCGAGGAGGGACGAAGCCACGUCGGUUAAUAGCCCAGAGGUGACGGUACCUCCGAGAAGAAGCCCCGGCUAACGUACGUGCCAGCAGCCGAGU
Molecule: ribosomal RNA, 505 nt
Filed under: uncultured soil bacterium
Lineage: Bacteria
Description: bacterial SSU rRNA
Rfam family: Bacterial small subunit ribosomal RNA
Source: RNAcentral